AUUUUAAACAUCAAAUAUAAAGAAUAAUUAAUAUUUUUUUAUUAUAA
Molecule: transfer RNA, 47 nt
Filed under: Vespa analis
Lineage: Eukaryota; Metazoa; Arthropoda; Insecta; Hymenoptera; Vespidae
Description: partial tRNA-Leu
Source: RNAcentral